GGCACGAUGGCAGAGUGGUUAUUGCGUAAGACUAGAAUAGUUCAACCUCUUCGGAGAAACAAAUCUUUCUGGAUCAUCUUAUUCCUUCGGGAGCGUAGGUUCAAGUCCUACUCGUGUCG
RNAcentral lists this transfer RNA (119 nucleotides) under Eutypa lata. RNAcentral describes it as "tRNA-Ser". It matches the Rfam family "tRNA". Rfam says of the family: Transfer RNA (tRNA) molecules are approximately 80 nucleotides in length. The record is from RNAcentral. Lineage: Eukaryota; Fungi; Ascomycota; Sordariomycetes; Xylariales; Diatrypaceae. RNAcentral also lists the same sequence under 1 other name.